Molecule: ribosomal RNA, 465 nt
Filed under: uncultured Klebsiella sp.
Lineage: Bacteria; Pseudomonadati; Pseudomonadota; Gammaproteobacteria; Enterobacterales; Enterobacteriaceae
Description: bacterial SSU rRNA
Rfam family: Bacterial small subunit ribosomal RNA
Source: RNAcentral
CCUACGGGUGGCUGCAGUGGGGAAUAUUGCACAAUGGGCGCAAGCCUGAUGCAGCCAUGCCGCGUGUGUGAAGAAGGCCUUCGGGUUGUAAAGCACUUUCAGCGGGGAGGAAGGCGGUGAGGUUAAUAACCUCAUCGAUUGACGUUACCCGCAGAAGAAGCACCGGCUAACUCCGUGCCAGCAGCCGCGGUAAUAUGGAGGGUGCAAGCGUUAAUCGGAAUUACUGGGCGUAAAGCGCACGCAGGCGGUCUGUCAAGUCGGAUGUGAAAUCCCCGGGCUCAACCUGGGAACUGCAUUCGAAACUGGCAGGCUAGAGUCUUGUAGAGGGGGGUAGAAUUCCAGGUGUAGCGGUGAAAUGCGUAGAGAUCUGGAGGAAUACCGGUGGCGAAGGCGGCCCCCUGGACAAAGACUGACGCUCAGGUGCGAAAGCGUGGGGAGCAAACAGGAUUAGAUACCCGAGUAGUC